GGUUAGAGUGUAGGGACGGCAGGUAGCCUAGUGGUUAGAGUGGAGGGACGACAGGUAGCCUAGUGGUUAGAGUGUAGGGACGGCAGGUAGUCUAGUGGUUAGAGUGUAGGGACAGGCAGGUAGACUAGUGGUUAGAGUGUAGGGGCAGGCAGGUAGCCUAGUGGUUAGAGUGUAGGGACGGCAGGUAGACUAGUGGUUAGAGUGUAGGGACGGCAGGUAGACUAGUGGUUAGAGUGGAGGGACGACAGGUAGCCUAGUGGAUAGAGUGUAGGGACGGCAGGUAGCCUAGUGGUUAGAGUGUAGGGACGACAGGUAGCCUAGUGGUUAGAGUGUAGGGACGGCAGGUAGACUAGUGGUUAGAGUGUAGGGGCGGCAGGUAGACUAGUGGUUAGAGUGGAGGGACGGCAGGUAGCCUAGUGGUUAGAGUGGAGGGACGGCAGGUAGCCUAGUGGUUAGAGUGUAGGGGCGGCAGGUAGACUAGUGGUUAGAGUGGAGGGACGGCAGGUAGCCUAGUGGUUAGAGUGGAGGGACGGCAGGUAGCCUAGUGGUUAGAGUGUAGGGACGGCAGGUAGACUAGUGGUUAUAGUGUAGGGACGGCAGGUAGACUAGUGGUUAUAGUGGAGGGACGGCAGGUAGACUAGUGGUUAGAGUGUAGGGGUGUCAGGU
RNAcentral lists this long non-coding RNA (666 nucleotides) under Salmo salar (Atlantic salmon). RNAcentral describes it as "lncRNA (ENSSSAG00000100326.1)". Lineage: Eukaryota; Metazoa; Chordata; Actinopteri; Salmoniformes; Salmonidae. The record is from RNAcentral.